AACCACCCAGCAGUAUGUAAAGUCAAAUUAUAAAAUACAAGUAAAUAACAAUUGCAGAACAGAAUGUCAGUGUAAUGAACACACACUUCGUUUUGACAAAGCGCACUGCUUAGGUAAAUGAUCUGAGUAGUUGUUCAUCACUGAGCAAUUUGUUGAUAUGUGUUUCGAGCCAAAUAAAUGACAGGGAGAGAGAGAGUGACGUCAGAACACGUCAUACUAUAACCUCCCGGGAGCGGACGGAGGGGGUCAGUCGUUGGGAUGCGCAUGCGCAGACAGAGUGUGCGAGCGGCGGGCCUUGACCUUUCGGGAAAAAAACUCACGGACGGUGACAGCGAAACGGAUAACAGUCUUCAGUACCUGCUGGACUUUGAAGCUGUGGAUUCUGGGACUGUUAGAAAAGCUCCAACAAAAUGAGGAAGAGGAGGGGGAGAAACACAAUUUGGUUGAAUUACAAUUGGAUGGAAGGCGAGGACAAGGAGAAGGAAGCUUAGGAUGAGGAGGAAGAGAAGCAGCAGGAGCAUCUUUAGGGAUCCCUAUGAUGUCAUUGAGAGGCAGCGGCGAGAGGGGAGACCUCGGCUCAUCCAGCUGGAGAGCCUGACCAGGAGGAGUCGAACAUUAACUCAGCUCUUCCAGGGCACCCUGCAGACUCGGCUGCUGGCAUCGGCGAGGGAUGACGUGAACGCCAAACUGGAGUCCAUCACAGGUCAACUGCAGCUCCUUGUCUCAGAGUGGGAGGGAUUUGAAGCACAAAGGGAGGAGCUUGUCGUUUGGUUGGCUGAUAUGGAUGUCCGCCUGAGAGGUUGACCAGCUGACAGGAAACACCAGUGAAAAACUGAAACAACUGCAGGUGUGGGCUUGUUUUGAUAUGACAUAUGUUUGAUAUGAAACAUACGUCAGAGACAUUAUCCUAAACUGGACUAACAAAGGACCAUGAGUACAACAUGAAACGUACAUUACAUAACGUAAGGCUGAAGUUCAUUGAUCAUUUU
Astatotilapia calliptera (eastern happy) is the source of this 989-nucleotide long non-coding RNA. The record is from Ensembl. NCBI's taxonomy places the organism in Eukaryota, Metazoa, Chordata, Actinopteri, Cichliformes, Cichlidae.